GACGAACCGUGCAAACGUUAUUCGGAAUCACUGGGCUUAAAGGGCGCGUAGGCGGGCCGCCAGGUCCGGGGUGAAAGCCUCCAGCUCAACUGGAGAAGUGCCUUGGAUACCGGCGGCCUCGAGGGAGGUAGGGGCGUGCGGAACUUCGGGUGGAGCGGUGAAAUGCGUAGAUAUCCGAAGGAACACCGGUGGCGAAAGCGGCGCGCUGGAUCUCUUCUGACGCUGAGGCGCGAAAGCGUGGGGAGCAAACGGG
Molecule: ribosomal RNA, 253 nt
Filed under: uncultured bacterium
Lineage: Bacteria
Description: partial 16S ribosomal RNA
Rfam family: Bacterial small subunit ribosomal RNA
Source: RNAcentral